GCUUCAGUGCGCAAUCCGGUGAAUUGAACAGUAAUGGGAGCAAUGAUCAGUGAGCCGCCGUAAUCUGUUCAGAAUCCAAAUCUAUCCGUGCUCUUCGUGAGGUGUCGAAGGUGGGCCGAACAAGUUUAGCUUUGAACAAAUUAGAAGUGCUCAAGCCGGCUCAAAAUGCUGCUUGAUAUUUCUUGCAUGGAAUAAUAGAAUAUGAUCUCGGGUCUAUUUGUUGGUUUUCAGAACUCCGAGGGUAAUGAUUAAUAGGGAUAACUGGGGGCAUUCGUAUUGCGACGUUAGAGGUGGAAAUUCUUGGAUCGUCGCAGACGAACAUCAGCGAAAGCAUUUGCCAAAGGUGUUUUCAUCAAUCAAGAACGAAAGUUAGAGGUUCGAAGGCGAUUAGAUAAAGCACUAGUUCUAACCGUAAAUAUGUCAUCUAGCGAUCCGCCGACGUUACUACAAUGGUUCGGCGGGCAGCUUCCGGGAAACCAGAGAUUUUGGACUCCGGGGGGAGUAUGGGUGCAAAGCUGAAACUUAAAGGAAUUGACGGAAGGGCACGCACCAGGAGUGGAGCCUGCGGCUUAAUUUGACUCAACACGGGAAAUCUCACCAGGCCCGGACACCGGAAGGAUUGACAGAUUAACAGCUCUUUCUUGAUUCGGUGGGUGGUGGUGCGAUGGCCGUUCCUUAGUUCGUGGAGCGAUUUGUCUGGUUAAUUCCGGUAACGAACGAGACUCUAGCCUGCUAAAUAGCCGUCGUCAUUUAGGUGUGCAGUGGCUCCGUCACGCAACUCACUGGCGACGUAUUAAAAUUCUUCUUAGAGGGACCGGCGGCUUCGAGCCGCACGAGAUUGAGCAAUAACAGGUCUGUGAUGCCCUUAGAUGUCCUGGGCCGCACGCGCGCUACACUGAAGGAAUCAGCAUGUUCUCCCUGGCCUAGAGGCCCGGGCAACCCGCUGAAACUCCUUCGUGCUGGGGAUUGGGGUUUGCAAUUAUCCCCCAUAAACGAGGAAUCCUAGAAGCGCGAGUACGCGCUAUAAGGUCUUU
This 1034-nucleotide ribosomal RNA is filed under the name Anticarsia gemmatalis (velvetbean caterpillar). RNAcentral describes it as "SSU rRNA". It matches the Rfam family "Eukaryotic small subunit ribosomal RNA", at positions 636 to 1654 of the family's 1831-position model. The record is from RNAcentral. Lineage: Eukaryota; Metazoa; Arthropoda; Insecta; Lepidoptera; Erebidae.